GGUUGAUCCUGCCGGACCCACUGCUAUCGGGAUGGGACUAAGACAUGCUUGUCGUGCGCUUCUAGCCAUGCUGGAGGCGCGGCACACAGCUCAGUAACACGUGGCUAACCUGCCCUUGGGACAGAAACAACCCCGGGAAACUGGGGACAAUUUCCGAUAGGUGAAGACUCCUGGAAUGGAUUUUCGCCCAAAAGACAUUUGGGUCAUGCUUCCAAGUGUUGCCCAAGGAUGGGGCCGCGGCCGAUCAGGUUGUUGGUGAGGUAAUGGCUCACCAAGCCUUUGACCGGUUCGGGCCGCGGGAGCGGUAGCCCGGAGAUGGGCACUGAGACAAGGGCCCAGGCCCUACGGGGCGCAGCAGUCGCGAAAACUUCGCAAUAAGCGAAAGCUUGACGGGGCCAUCCCGAGUGCCAUCUGCUGAGGAUGGCUUUUACCCAGUAUAGAUAGCUGGGGGAAUAAGGAGAGGGCAAGUCUGGUGUCAGCCGCCGCGGUAAUACCAGCUCUCCGAGUUGUGGGGACGUUUAUUGAGCCUGAAGCAUCCGUAGCCGGCUGGGCAAGUCCCCUGUUAAAUCCAGCGACUAAUCGUUGGCCUGCGGGGGAUACUGCUCGGCUAGGGGGCGGGAGAGGGCGU
Molecule: ribosomal RNA, 628 nt
Filed under: uncultured archaeon
Lineage: Archaea
Description: bacterial SSU rRNA
Rfam family: Archaeal small subunit ribosomal RNA
Source: RNAcentral